This 75-nucleotide transfer RNA is filed under the name Paraplanobispora siamensis. RNAcentral describes it as "Planobispora siamensis tRNA-Pro". It matches the Rfam family "tRNA". Rfam says of the family: Transfer RNA (tRNA) molecules are approximately 80 nucleotides in length. Their secondary structure includes four short double-helical elements and three loops (D, anti-codon, and T loops). Lineage: Bacteria; Bacillati; Actinomycetota; Actinomycetes; Streptosporangiales; Streptosporangiaceae. The record is from RNAcentral.
CGGGAUGUAGCGCAGUUUGGCAGCGCACGCGCUUCGGGUGCGUGAGGUCGCUGGUUCGAAUCCAGCCAUCCCGAC